CCUACGGGCGGCUGCAGUGGGGAAUAUUGGACAAUGGGCGAAAGCCUGAUCCAGCCAUGCCGCGUGUGUGAAGAAGGCCUUCGGGUUGUAAAGCACUUUCAGUGGGGAAGAAAGCCUUGGGGCUAAUACCCUCGAGGAAGGACAUCACCCACAGAAGAAGCACCGGCUAACUCCGUGCCAGCAGCCGCGGUAAUACGGAGGGUGCGAGCGUUAAUCGGAAUUACUGGGCGUAAAGCGCGCGUAGGCGGUCUGAUAAGCCGGUUGUGAAAGCCCCGGGCUCAACCUGGGAACGGCAUCCGGAACUGUCAGGCUAGAGUGCAGGAGAGGAAGGUAGAAUUCCCGGUGUAGCGGUGAAAUGCGUAGAGAUCGGGAGGAAUACCAGUGGCGAAGGCGGCCUUCUGGACUGACACUGACGCUGAGGUGCGAAAGCGUGGGUAGCAAACAGGAUUAGAUACCCUAGUCGUC
RNAcentral lists this ribosomal RNA (465 nucleotides) under Vreelandella stevensii. Its description in RNAcentral is "partial 16S ribosomal RNA". It matches the Rfam family "Bacterial small subunit ribosomal RNA", at positions 338 to 795 of the family's 1533-position model. The record is from RNAcentral. Lineage: Bacteria; Pseudomonadati; Pseudomonadota; Gammaproteobacteria; Oceanospirillales; Halomonadaceae.